UACGUAGGGGGCAAGCGUUAUCCGGAUUUACUGGGUGUAAAGGGAGCGUAGACGGUGAUGCAAGUCAGAAGUGAAAGCCCGGGGCUCAACCCCGGCCCGCCGUUGAAACUGGCAGUCUCGAGUUGGAGAGAAGUAUGCGGAAUGCGCGGUGUAGCGGUGAAAUGCAUAGAUAUCGCGCAGAACUCCGAUUGCGAAGGCAGCAUGCCGGCUCCACACUGACGCUGAGGCACGAAAGCGUGGGUAUCGAACAGG
This 252-nucleotide ribosomal RNA is filed under the name uncultured Bacteroidales bacterium. RNAcentral's name for it is "partial 16S ribosomal RNA". It matches the Rfam family "Bacterial small subunit ribosomal RNA", at positions 524 to 776 of the family's 1533-position model. Lineage: Bacteria; Pseudomonadati; Bacteroidota; Bacteroidia; Bacteroidales. The record is from RNAcentral.